CGACAAAGAGUGUGAGAGACACUCUCGCCGAAAGUCCAAGGGUUCCUGCUUAAAGCUAAUCUGAGCAGGGUAAGCCGACCCCUAAGGCGAGGCCGAAAGGCGUAGUCGAUGGGAACCAGGUUAAUAUUCCUGGGCCAGGAGGAUGUGACGGAUCUGAGCCGUUGUUCAUACUUAUCGGAUUGUGUGGGCAGCCAACAGGUUCCUGGAAAUAGCCCUCCAUGAGAUCGUACCCUAAACCGACACAGGUGGACUGGUAGAGAAUACCAAGGCGCUUGAGAGAACGAUGUUGAAGGAACUCGGCAAAAUACCUCCGUAAGUUCGCGAGAAGGAGGCCCGGUUCCAAGGCAACUUGGAGCUGGGGGCACAAACCAGGGGGUGGCGACUGUUUACUAAAAACACAGGGCUCUGCGAAGUCGCAAGACGACGUAUAGGGUCUGACGCCUGCCCGGUGCUGGAAGGUUAAGGAAGGUAGUUAGCUCCGGCAAAGCUAUUGACUGAAGCCCCAGUAAACGGCGGCCGUAACUAUAACGGUCCUAAGGUAGCGAAAUUCCUUGUCGGGUAAGUUCCGACCUGCACGAAUGGCGUAACGACUUCCCCGCUGUCUCCAACGUAGACUCAGCGAAAUUGAAUUCCCCGUGAAGAUGCGGGGUUCCCGCGGUUAGACGGAAAGAC
This 672-nucleotide ribosomal RNA is filed under the name Strombidium inclinatum. Its description in RNAcentral is "partial Bacterial large subunit ribosomal RNA". It matches the Rfam family "Bacterial large subunit ribosomal RNA", at positions 1310 to 2089 of the family's 2925-position model. Lineage: Eukaryota; Ciliophora; Spirotrichea; Strombidiidae. The record is from RNAcentral.